Molecule: ribosomal RNA, 468 nt
Filed under: uncultured bacterium
Lineage: Bacteria
Description: partial 16S ribosomal RNA
Rfam family: Bacterial small subunit ribosomal RNA
Source: RNAcentral
GACGAACGCUGGCGGCGUGCUUAACACAUGCAAGUCGAACGGAAAGGCCCUGCUUUUGUGGGGUGCUCGAGUGGCGAACGGGUGAGUAACACGUGAGUAACCUGCCCUUGACUUUGGGAUAACUUCAGGAAACUGGGGCUAAUACCGGAUAGGAGCUCCUGCUGCAUGGUGGUGGUUGGAAAGUUUCGGCGGUUGGGGAUGGACUCGCGGCUUAUCAGCUUGUUGGUGGGGUAGUGGCUUACCAAGGCUUUGACGGGUAGCCGGUCUGAGAGGGUGACCGGCCACAUUGGGACUGAGAUACGGCCCAGACUCCUACGGGAGGCAGCAGUGGGGAAUAUUGCACAAUGGGCGGAAGCCUGAUGCAGCAACGCCGCGUGCGGGAUGACGGCCUUCGGGUUGUAAACCGCUUUCGCCUGUGACGAAGCGUGAGUGACGGUAAUGGGUAAAGAAGCACCGGCUAACUACGUG